UACGUAGGGUGCAAGCGUUAAUCGGAAUUACUGGGCGUAAAGCGCGCGUAGGCGGCUUUGCAAGUCGGGUGUGAAAUCCCCGGGCUUAACCUGGGAACUGCAUUUGUGACUGCAUCGCUGGAGUGCGGCAGAGGGGGAUGGAAUUCCGCGUGUAGCAGUGAAAUGCGUAGAUAUGCGGAGGAACACCGAUGGCGAAGGCAAUCCCCUGGGCCUGCACUGACGCUCAUGCACGAAAGCGUGGGGAGCAAACAGG
Molecule: ribosomal RNA, 253 nt
Filed under: uncultured bacterium
Lineage: Bacteria
Description: partial 16S ribosomal RNA
Rfam family: Bacterial small subunit ribosomal RNA
Source: RNAcentral